UGGCGCGUCUCCGGUCAGUCUAUGCUACAACCACUGUUGCUACUGGCCUCGCUCUUCCUCCUCCAGGGGGCCAAUCGGACGGCGGAAGACCACCACCUCGGGCCACGCUGCGCCGCGCGGCGCCAUUGGAGCGAGGACGCGGCAGCGACCAAUGAGCGCCGGGAGAGGUGGGAAGGCGAUCACCCCAACUGCUCGCGAUUGGCUGUGUCUGCAGGGAUCCUGCCCAAUGGCGGCGCGGGGGGAGCCUAUAAAGGCUCCCGCGAGAGCACGCGGUGGUCUUUCCUACCGGGAGGGCGCGGCGGGAACCGGCUCGGACCGGCGGGCGCCGGCCGCGGGCGGCCCGAGGGACGGCGAGGCGGGAGCGGAGAGCGGCGCAGCGCGCGGCGGCCGGGAGUGGCGCCGGCUGCCCUCCGGGCCCUGCCUCAGCCCGGGUGGCGGCUCGUUCAUGGAGUCAAGCCGGAAAAUGCGGUAUUUUCGGCCUGUCUGGAGCUCCCAGCACCGGGGAGCGGCGCCGAGCCCCGCGGAGUGGCCGCCCGCCUGUGGGUUGCUUCGGGGAAGUCAGAGCUGCAGGGAAAGCCCGAGUGGGUUUCACGGCAAGUGAAAGCGGGAAGCUGUGGCUGGAGCAGCUACUUCGUGGCCUUAGGAUAGCGGUUAGCCUGUGUGCAGCAUAGGCUGGGAACUGCGGAGCAGAACAAGUGGUGCAGCUUAAAAACACACUGGGCCAAGAGAGAUCUCGUCCAGGGUCGCUGUACCAAGCAGUGAACCGCUGGUUGUGAUCCUGUACAGUUUGGGGCUCAGGGCAGUUUCUAAACACAAAGAAGCAGCUGCAAAACUGCCCAAAAUACAAGGAGCCAAAAGCAAUUAUUAUCAAUGAGCAGGUAGGUUAAGGCAAAAGGAAUGGCAGGUAGUGGAUGCAAAAAUGGGGGUAAGUGAAAGAAUUCAUAGGCAGCUGUUCUCACAAUGCAGGUGGACACUAGUACCAGAGUGUGUGGGUACUUUCUAAUCUAUAUCUGGGAGUCCUUGCUACUAACUAGCUGUUUUGAGACUAACAGGCUGCUCAGAUACUGUUCUUUCCCAACUGUUUCCUGCUGUGUUUCCAAUUUGGCUUCUGUAUAAAGCUAAUCUUACAGCUUUAAGUUUUAAUAAAGUUUUCAGUAAACUUG
Molecule: long non-coding RNA, 1163 nt
Organism: Dromaius novaehollandiae (emu)
Lineage: Eukaryota; Metazoa; Chordata; Aves; Casuariiformes; Dromaiidae
Exons: 2
Source: RefSeq, a predicted model, not a curated record